CACGUAGGGCGCAAGCGUUGUCCGGAAUUAUUGGGCGUAAAGAGCUCGUAGGCGGUCUGUUGCGUCCGCUGUGAAAAACUCGGGGCUUAACCCCCGAGCCUGCAGUGGAUACGGGCAGACUAGAGGUAGGUAGGGGGAGAAUGGAAUUCCCGGUGUAGCGGUGAAAUGCGCAGAUAUCAGGAAGAACACCCGUGGCGAAGGCGGCUCUCUGGGGACGGUACUGACGCUGAGACGCGAAAAGCGUGGGGGAGCGAACAGG
This 259-nucleotide ribosomal RNA is filed under the name uncultured bacterium. RNAcentral describes it as "partial 16S ribosomal RNA". It matches the Rfam family "Bacterial small subunit ribosomal RNA", at positions 524 to 776 of the family's 1533-position model. The record is from RNAcentral.